Long non-coding RNA from Haplochromis burtoni (Burton's mouthbrooder), 669 nucleotides. RefSeq lists it as uncharacterized. NCBI's taxonomy places the organism in Eukaryota, Metazoa, Chordata, Actinopteri, Cichliformes, Cichlidae. The transcript has 3 exons. The record is from RefSeq and is a predicted model, not a curated record.
CAAGUACACCCCCUCAUCCUCAGGACAAGAGGAUGGACGCUCUAACAUACACCGCUCCGCCACAGAUCCGCCGUUCAGUUUGUUUACAGGAGGAUGAAUGAAGAGGCUGGUGGUGCAGCAGCGUGCGGACGCGCAGCGUGCUACCGGCUGUGCUCGUGUCGCUAGUAUAAUUAUUAUUAUUAUUAACAGUGUGUUACUGGUUUGACUGGCAGACGACACACUGGAAAAGCACCGAGGCAAGACAAAAACCCGACUUUCCAGCAUCCAUUUGAACACGGUCUCCCUGGUCUACUUAAUAAUCAGAAGAUGCUGCUUAAACAAACCUAAACAUAGCUGAGUUAACAGAGGGUGGGACCACAUAAUCUGCUCUCUGAAGGAUAGAAGUUGAUGCAUACUAACUGUAUGAGGGCCCUCAGCUUCUCCCACAGCUGUGUGCUGUGCUUGUGAAUCUUUUUGAGCUGGGAAGUGAAGAGUCAUGGGCUGUGGGGGCAGCAGAACUGACGCUUUGGAGCCUCGCUACCUGGAGAGCUGGACAAAAGAGACGGAGUCGACAUGGCUGACGAGCACAGACACAGAUAUCCCCUUGUCAUCCAUCCAGAGCAUCCCCUCUGAGAACUCAGAGGCUGGCUUCACUUCUGAGAAAACAAUCAGCCCUGGUAAGAAGAAUGA